RNAcentral lists this long non-coding RNA (326 nucleotides) under Rosa chinensis. Its description in RNAcentral is "sRNA RchiOBHm_Chr1g0327421". Lineage: Eukaryota; Viridiplantae; Streptophyta; Magnoliopsida; Rosales; Rosaceae. The record is from RNAcentral.
GCAUUUCAUUAUGACUUACAUUGAUAUAUGUUUGUUGUGUAUAUAUAUAUUUGUAGUGGGCGGUAAAGACUCGGAAAGGAUAUACCCAACAACAACUUGACGAGGUGCGCAUGGAGGUGGCCGACUACUUGCAGACCUUGUUGUAGAUUCUGACUAGGAUGGGGAUUUUGAGAUGAGGAUUUUGAGUCAGGCUACAUAGCUUUUGGUUCACUUUUUUUGUAGUAGAUGAAGUGAAUGCAGCAAUUAUGAACAAAAUUGCUGUAUAUAGGCAUUGUUAGGCUAGCUUUGUAGUAGGUUAAUUGGGGUUUUGUUUUGCCUGUUUUGUG